AUUACUUUUGUCUCCUUUUUAUUUUAAUAACCAAUCUUAUUGUUAAGAAUUUUUUGACUCUUAAAUUCAUACUUGAAAAGCCAUGUUAUAAGUUUCCAUAUGUAAUAUCUCUAAAAUGUAAUAGUGGCUUGAGUAGAUUUUUCAUAUUCUGACCUUAGAAUACUUUUAAAUAGUUCUGGACCAAAAGAGGUCAAUUUUGUGAGUAUUGUGUAUUAAGUAACCAACAUCCCUUGUUUUUAAUCCAACUAUCAAUGUGACAAAAUUACAAGGGUCAGAAAUUCAAAAUCAUUGUUAAAGAUCAGAUAUCUUUGAUUCUUUGCUGCUUUCUGAUUACAUACAUUUGUUGUGCAUCUUCCUUGUUUUUUUUAGAAUUUUCUAAAUUUUUUUGCUUCCAAGACCUUAAGUUAAAAUGUUCUUGAAUUCAUAUGGACCCACCCCAAAUAUAGAUGUUAAAAUGUAAUUAGAGAUGGAAAUGUAUGUAAUGGAAACUUUAAGGUGUUAUGGGUUUUUUCCCUGAAACUUUCCAUGGCUUAGUGUCUUGGAAGGAGACUCACAUUAAAAGUAGUUACCUUUUAUAUUUGGUAGCUUGAAGCCAUUGUUGUUUAAUGCCACAGUAUGGAGAAGCAAAUUCUUUAAUGAAUUUACCAAAUUGUUUAGUACUAAUAAUACGGCAUUCAAGUCAUUUUUUCUUUUCUCCAACCACUAUUAAAAUAAUUUGUGUGCAUAGUGACUGAUUCCAGUCAUUAGUGUAAAAUAACUUCUGGCUAGCUAGUAAUUCUUUUUUUUAAGAAAACUACAUUUGAUUUCUCAAUUUCCCAGUUUGUUUUCAGUACAGAGUGACCAGUGCAAUGCAGAAAGGCAUAAUCAAGUGUGAUGGGUCUAUAAAAAUAACUGAAUUUUGCAUGUAAUAAACCCUUAGCUUCAAUGAUCAGACAUAAGAAUGGUUUUUGAUGUUACAUUAGUAACGUUCUAGGAAUAUAUAUUUGGCAUACUUUGCUUCACAGACAUCCAUAAAAAUGUUUACAUAUGGCAGUAUCAAAGUAUAUAAAAAUUUUCUUUGUAUAUAAAUUGGCAUCUUCAUACUAGUGAACAAAUAGCAAUGGAUAAUAAAUGCAAUUCAUUUUUGGAUGUCAGUGCACAUUGUCAAGAAGUCAUGUAAUCAUAAUAAAUACAUACCUGUUUAUUCCUUGAACCAUGAGUUUUGCACACCUGAUGUUUAAUUUUCACAUAUUGAACUUCAUUGACUUGACAGUGGUUUGUGGACAGCUCAUCAGGGUCAUUUACAAAAAUUUGCUUGGCCUGAAGGUUAUUAAUUGAGUAAAUUGGCAAAUUUUUCAAACCUUCAGAUACUAUUGAUUCUGAAAACUAAAAUAGCAGUUUACUACUGUUAGAAGUCUUGUCACAGAAUAACUUAGGUUUAUAUCGGAAGAGAAAACCUAGGAAUAAAUUAAGUUGAAAACUUUAGAAUUUUCAAUAGACAAAGAGGAGCUCUCCCUGCCCCAGAGAUUCUUGUAACAGCUCCUCUGUUUGAGAAUUGCUAUUCCUGAGGAAAAAGUGUCAAACAACUUAGCCUGUUAGGAUAUGAAAAUGAUAGAGGAGACAGGCUUCAAGAUGGCAUCAUAGAAAGAUCCUGAACUCAUCUCCUCUUACGGACAUAACAAAUCUACAACUACAUAUGGAAUAAUUCCCUCUGAAAGGGACCUGAAAACUGAAUGAACAGAGGUUCCACAACAAAGGAUAAAAGGACACAGUGUUUAGCCUGACCGUGUAAAACUAUCCUUCACUUCCUGCUUAUGCUGAUCAACCAUUGGUGAAAAGCUAGUCUUCUCAGGUAUUUUCUGAGUAUGCAUCCUGUGCUGGGCAUAUGGAUUUGUGGGUGCCUUUUAGAUUCCCUGGUAUACACAGGAACUUUUCAAAGCCCCUAUUGUUUCAAAGUAUCCCACUCCCAGCUUUUCUUCCCAGGGUGUGUGACUAUUGUAUGACUCUUGCUUGCCCCAACUGCUAUCAUUUGCCACAGCAGCUUGUUCUUUUGUAUUAGUGACUUGUUCAUUUGUCUUUCAAUGGUUUUGAGGAGUGUCUUCCAUAUAGCCAACUCUCCACCCUCAGAGAGUUCCAGGGUAAGUGAAACGAAGGCAAACACCUGUACUUCUGGUAUCCCAAAGACAAGGCAAAACAGGCAAACAGAACUGUUUGAAAACAAGGUCUGUUCUGUUCCCUCUGUGACCAGGAACCCACACUAGGAACACAGGUUGCUGCCCUCAAGGGAACAGAGGACUGUGGCAAGGGUAACUGAAAAUGCCACAAAGCUUUCCUAUCGUGCUUCAUUCACCUUUUCCUAAUUAAGCAUUUGCUUCCUUGCUGUAAACUUGUAACUAUCUUCCCGAGUUCCAAUAAAUUUGAUCCUGACAAUUUUGCCAGUUUUAUGGGUUUUUCUAGGGAAGGACAGAACCCCAGAGUUUCCUACUCCACAAUUUUCACUGACAUCACUGGUCACACCUCUUUGCGUUGUUUUGUUUUUAGCAGUCACUCUAGGGAUCACAAUAUAUAUCUUAACUUUCAUGAUCUGGAGUUAAUUUUGUACCAAUUCACUUCAAAUGUAAGAACCUUGCAACUAUAUUUAAUUUACCCCAUUUUCAUUUAUUCUAUACUUGGCAUAUAUAUUACAUCUACAUGCACUAUAAACCUCAAAAUGUUUUAAUUUUUUACUUUAAUUACUGAUUUGUACUUUAAUUAAGAAAUUGAAAGUGAUGGUUUGUUGUAUUCAUCCACAUAUUUCCCACUUCUGAUGUUCUUCAUUGCUUCCUGAAGCUCUGAAUUUCUACUUGGUACCAUUUCCACUCAGCCCAAAAAAGUUCCUUUGGUAUUUCUUAUAGUGCAGGUCAGUAGAUGAUGAAGUCUCUAUGAUUUCCAUUUGGUUCUUUUUCUAGUUUCUAUUUAUGCGGUGAAAUUUCCUAUUUGCUAAUUCAUUAAUAGCAUGUUUUCUUUAACAUUCUUGAGCAUAAUAGUUAUAAUAGCUGCUUUAAAAUUCUUGACUGCUCAUACCAUCAUAUUGGCC
Long non-coding RNA from Equus caballus (horse), 3055 nucleotides. Lineage: Eukaryota; Metazoa; Chordata; Mammalia; Perissodactyla; Equidae. The record is from Ensembl.